This 72-nucleotide transfer RNA is filed under the name Salmo salar (Atlantic salmon). It matches the Rfam family "tRNA". From Rfam's summary of the family: Transfer RNA (tRNA) molecules are approximately 80 nucleotides in length. Their secondary structure includes four short double-helical elements and three loops (D, anti-codon, and T loops). Lineage: Eukaryota; Metazoa; Chordata; Actinopteri; Salmoniformes; Salmonidae. The record is from Rfam by way of RNAcentral.
GCCGUGAUCUUAUAGUGGUCAGUACUCUGCGUUGUGGCCUCGGAAAUCCUGGUUCAAAUCCCGGUCAUGGCG